AGAGUUUGAUCCUGGCUCAGAACGAACGCUGGCGGCAUGCUUCAUACAUGCAAGUCGAACGCGUGGCUUCGGCCACGAGUGGCGCACGGGUGAGUAACGCGUGGGAACCUGCCUUCUGGUUCGGAAUAACCACGGGAAACUGUGGCUAAUACCGGAUAAGCCCUACGGGGGAAAGAUUUAUCGCCAGUAGAGGGGCCCGCGUCCGAUUAGGUAGUUGGUGGGGUAAUAGCCUACCAAGCCGACGAUCGGUAGCUGGUCUGAGAGGAUGAUCAGCCACACUGGGACUGAGACACGGCCCAGACUCCUACGGGAGGCAGCAGUAAGGAAUAUUGGACAAUGGGCGAAAGCCUGAUCCAGCAAUGCCGCGUGAGUGAUGAAGGCCUUAGGGUUGUAAAGCUCUUUCGGCGGGGACGAUGAUGACGGUACCCGCAGAAGAAGCCCCGGCUAACUUCGUGCCAGCAGCCGCGGUAAUACGAAGGGGGCUAGCGUUGUUCGGAAUUACUGGGCGUAAAGGGCGCGUAGGCGGCGCAAGAAGUCAGGCGUGAAAGCCCCGGGCUCAACCUGGGAAUUGCGCUUGAUACUCUUGUGCUUUAGUUCGGGAGAGGAGAGUGGAAUUCCCAGUGUAGAGGUGAAAUUCGUAGAUAUUGGGAAGAACACCGGUGGCGAAGGCGGCUCUCUGGACCGAUACUGACGCUGAGGCGCGAAAGCGUGGGGAGCAAACAGGAUUAGAUACCCUAGUAGUCC
RNAcentral lists this ribosomal RNA (744 nucleotides) under uncultured bacterium. Its description in RNAcentral is "bacterial SSU rRNA". It matches the Rfam family "Bacterial small subunit ribosomal RNA", at positions 8 to 796 of the family's 1533-position model. The record is from RNAcentral.